Long non-coding RNA from Acinonyx jubatus (cheetah), 3005 nucleotides. RefSeq lists it as uncharacterized. The transcript has 5 exons. Lineage: Eukaryota; Metazoa; Chordata; Mammalia; Carnivora; Felidae. The record is from RefSeq and is a predicted model, not a curated record.
GGAUGCCCAUGGUCUAACAGCCCAGGAUAGAGCAAUCAAUCUAUCACUAAAAUCUUAUUUGUUUAUUGACCAAAUAAAAGAGCAGGAUUGGAAAUUAUGUCCAUGCUGUUAGUGAUGAUUUGGGGUGGGGGGACUCUUAUUUUCCCUUAGUAAUUAAAGCAUUGGAUCCGGGAUAUUUCUACUUGGGUGAGCCAAAUCCAUGAGUAUUAUAAUGGAGCACAGGCCAUCAGUUAAUCAGGGUAUUGAAAAGGGAGGGUGGGAGAGCUCAUUUUGGACAGUUGAGUUGCUUGUGAGUUCAGAGGGCUUUCUUUUUUUAGAUACCUUUUUCCUUUUCCACUCUGUUUUUUGUUAGAUGAUCUCAUUUUAUGGGGACCAACAAGGAAAAAUGAGUACAAAGAGAUCAUCUGUGCUUAAAAAUUCACAUAUGGAAGGAUAAUUUCAGGUGAAAGUAUUAGACUAAAUAUGGCAACUAAAGAUGCAGUAGAAUGUAGCAAGCUUGACUUUUUAUACUUCAUUUCUUGCAAGCUCUGGGAUGUUUGGCAAGUCACUUAACUUUUCAACUCAUUAUCCGAUGUACUGGGUGGGGAUAAUAAUGCACGUCCUACCUGAAGACAAAGGAUUGAAAGAAGUGAUCACCUGCCCUCCCUUAGAUAUCUAGCACUUUAUAGCCCCUUGCUCUACUGUAUUUUUCUUCACAGCAUUUGUCACUACCUGAUCUUUACUAUAUGUAUGCUUGUCUUUUUAUCUUCUCUUUAUCCAAAUAGAAAGUAAUCUUCAUGAAAGCAGAGUUCUCUCUGUGUUAUUGCCAGUGCUAAGGCAGUGACUGGCACAUAACGUAUGAUCAAUAAAUAUUUGUUGGAAAGAUGAAUCUGAGUUCAAGGACCUAAGAUUAUCAAAAGGAGUCUGAUGAAGCAUGCUGGUUAAGCUCUCUUGUCAAGAUGCUAUGGUUCAGAUAUCUACUCUACCACUCUCUGGCUGUGUGGGUACCAGUCUCAGAGAAACAAACUGUUCGUGCAGACAUCAUGGGGACAGAUAGAAUUGUUCCAGAGUUGUCCAAUACCAGUGUAAAAGUGAAAUCCUAGUGACACAACAGGAAGAAGGGAACUCAGUACCGAAGUUCUCAAAAUGAACGCUGCCCCCUUAAAGAUGUCCAUGUUGCCAUCUCUUUUAACUUGGGUAAGUGAAUUAGCUGCCUAGGGCUUCCCUUUUAUCUUUUGAUGAUAGUUCCUGACUCUGAGUUGUUAUGUGAUGGAAAAAAUAAUUCAUGUAAAGUAAUCACAGGGUCUGAGCUCAUGGUCCGUUGUUGCUGGGAAUUUCUGGAUUCAUAGAGUGUGGGCUCAGCUUUUCCAAGCCAGAAUGAAAAAAUGAGAUGAUGUCACAAUAAAAAGGCUUAUGAUGACAAAGGUCUGUUAUUGCUGUCUCCUAAGCAUGCUACCUCCUGGUAAUCCUAGUUUUGAACCAUAGUUAUGUUUGCUGUGCUUGUCCUUUUGAGGAGGGAAGAGUUCGGGCUAGAUGGAGAUUCUUUUACAGGAUGAUCUCUUGCCACUCUAUCUUAUCUCAUGGUUCAAGUGACAGGACAGUGGUGAGCCAUACUGAAGUGGUUGAUGAAUUACUUUGGUACCCAUGGGCUAUGAGGAGCCUGGACCAGAUCACCAACUGGAUAACAAUGAAGGUGAUGGUGGUGGUGCUGGGGCCAUGGGCUAGCAAGGCAAGUCAGUGGUUCUGAACUUGUGUGGGACUUAGCAGGGUGGAGCUCUGCCUCUGCUCAAACCCAAACCUGUCCUCCUGCUGCCUAGAUCCACGAAACUGUGAUAGCAGGAGAUGAGGGAUGAGGAAUAUAAAAGGAAAGGAGCUAAUAUUUACUUAGAACCCCCUUAUUUAUUAGGCACGUUAACAGUUUUAAAAGUUAACUGAUCUGGUCUGUAAUAGCCCUUGGAAUAAGCAUUUUGUUUAUUUAAUAGUUAAAGACUUGAGGCUGAGGGAGAUUAAAUAACUCAUUCGAGGUCAACAGCAAGGAAGAGAUGGCCCAGAAGUUUGAAUUUAGACCUUUCUGGCUCUACAGACUGUCUUCCAAUACCGUAGUCCAGCCUCUAGAGGAAGUCCUCUAGGGCCCAGGUGGGCUCAGCACUUGGACCUGGGAAACCCAUGCAGAGGACUAGCGUCAAUUGGGGAACACGGAGCCCACUGCCUUCUUACCUGUUUCCAACUAGCUGAGCAUCCAGACUGGAUAUAGCCCAAGGUGGAAAUACAUAGACUGAUGGAGAAGCAGACUUUGGGCACCAGACUGGCCUUCCCUGCCCUAUCCCGGCUGCUUGCUCUCCAAGACUAUCCUGACGUUGGAGUUCUUCCUGUAUACGCCCAUAACCCAUUUGUGGAUAUACCUGUUUUGUGCCGGACACAUUGCUUUCUGCUUAUCUUCUCAGUUCUUCAGAAGUCUGUCAUAGGCAGUGUGCAGGCCUUUUGUCCUUGUAACCCUGAAGAUUGUUGGAGUACACUAAUGAUAGAUUUUUUUCUUCAUGUUUCAAUUGUCUCUGGUCAGUGGCAGUUGGGAUGCAGAUGAUCUUCCCUGUGAGAUGUGGUCAGAAGGUCAAUAUUGAUGGUCGGCUAUGUCACAACACCUACAUCAUUCGCUGCGCUGCGUCUCAUCACAUUGGCAUUUCGUCAUCUCACAUCAUCAGAAGAAGGGUCAUGAAAUCCAGAGCCACAAAUGUGAGUGGGUUCACACCAGGUUUCCAGUGACCAGGAAUGCACAGCGAGUUUCACAAUGAUAUGUCAUGCAGAAGAUUGAUACGUCUGAAGGGAGUUCUCUGUGCGUCUUGGAUUUCAGUGUCUGUUUCCUUCCCCACAUUGGGAAAGUUCUCAGCUCUGCUGGGGUAUCAUGGAACAUUGCACAGAUGUCCUCCUUUACCUUCCCCCCCCCCCCAAUCACUGGAGUACCCCCACCUCAGAGUUUCCGGAAACCCACACCUUACCUCCAUCAGCACAGGUCGGCAAACAUUUUUCAG